CCCUUAGAUGUUCUGGGCCGCACGCGCGCUACACUGAUGCAUUCAACGAGUUUUACCUUGGCCGAGAGGCCUGGGCAAUCUUUUAAACCUGCAUCGUGAUAGGGAUAGAUUAUUGCAAUUAUUAGUCUUGAACGAGGAAUUCCUAGUAAGCACAAGUCAUCAGCUUGUGUUGAUUACGUCCCUGCCCUUUGUACACACCGCCCGCCGCUCCUACCGAUUGAAUGUUCCGGUGAGCUCUUCGGACUGCGCGGUCUGCAGUUUCUGCGUUCCGUGCGGAAAGUUGCGCAAACCUUAACAUUUAGAGGAAGGAGAAGUCGUAACA
RNAcentral lists this ribosomal RNA (322 nucleotides) under uncultured eukaryote. RNAcentral describes it as "partial 18S ribosomal RNA". It matches the Rfam family "Eukaryotic small subunit ribosomal RNA", at positions 1470 to 1796 of the family's 1831-position model. The record is from RNAcentral.